UGCCAGCCGCCGCGGUAAUACAUAGGGGUCAAGCGUAGUUCGGAAUUACUGGGCUUAAAGAGUUCGUAGGUGGUUGAAAAAGUUGGUGGUGAAAUCCCAGAGCUUAACUCUGGAACUGCCAUCAAAACUUUUCAGCUAGAGUAUGAUAGAGGAAAAUGGAAUUUCUAGUGGAGAGGUUAAAUUCUUAGAUAUUAGAAAGAAUACCAAUUGCGAAGGCAGCUUUCUGGAUCAUUACUGACACUGAGGAACGAAAGCAUGGGUAGCGAAGAGGAUUAGAUA
Molecule: ribosomal RNA, 279 nt
Filed under: uncultured bacterium
Lineage: Bacteria
Description: partial 16S ribosomal RNA
Rfam family: Bacterial small subunit ribosomal RNA
Source: RNAcentral